UACGUAGGGCGCAAGCGUUGUCCGGAAUUAUUGGGCGUAAAGAGCUCGUAGGCGGUCUGUUACGUCCGCUGUGAAAACCCAGGGCUUAACCCUGGGCUUGCAGUGGAUACGGGCAGACUAGAGGCAGGUAGGGGAGAAUGGAAUUCCGAGUGUAGAGGUGAAAUUCGUAGAUAUUCGGAAGAACACCAGUGGCGAAGGCGACUCACUGGACACAUAUUGACGCUGAGGUGCGAAAGCGUGGGGAGCAAACAGG
RNAcentral lists this ribosomal RNA (253 nucleotides) under uncultured bacterium. Its description in RNAcentral is "partial 16S ribosomal RNA". It matches the Rfam family "Bacterial small subunit ribosomal RNA", at positions 524 to 776 of the family's 1533-position model. The record is from RNAcentral.